RNAcentral lists this unclassified non-coding RNA (341 nucleotides) under fungal sp. Its description in RNAcentral is "partial internal transcribed spacer region". The stretch from base 1 to 46 matches the Rfam family "Eukaryotic small subunit ribosomal RNA", at positions 1786 to 1831 of the family's 1831-position model. The record is from RNAcentral. Lineage: Eukaryota; Fungi.
AAGUCGUAACAAGGUUUCCGUAGGUGAACCUGCGGAAGGAUCAUUAACACGUAUCUAACGUUAAAUCCCCCGUGCACGUUGACGUUUACAGCCGCUGAGCCGAAAUUGCACUUGGGGGAAGAGCCGGAAGAAGUUUUCGGUGACCUGGACCAGCACAAUCUUUCAAUGGCAAGCAAUCGGGUUAUGGUUUGAGACAGGUGGGUUCUAUCCAAGAUCGCAAGAUCACUUAAUUGAAGUCUUAAUGACCCAAAAACAUAUGACAUCAACAUGGUUAGAACUGGGGAAACCUGGGCCAUGAAACGUAACCCGAACAACUGUUAACAAUGGAUAUCUUGGUUCUC